This 230-nucleotide ribosomal RNA is filed under the name uncultured bacterium. RNAcentral's name for it is "partial 16S ribosomal RNA". It matches the Rfam family "Bacterial small subunit ribosomal RNA", at positions 562 to 791 of the family's 1533-position model. The record is from RNAcentral.
AAAGGGUGUGUAGGCGGGCUGUUAAGUCCGUGGUGAAAUCCCAAGGCUCAACCUUGGAACUGCCAUGGAUACUAAUGGUCUUGAAUAUUGAUGAGGUGGGCGGAACGGGUCAUGUAGCGGUGAAAUGCUUAGAGAUGACCCGGAACACCGAUUGCGAAGGCAGCUCACUGGGCAAUUAUUGACGCUGAGGCACGAAAGCGUGGGGAUCAAACAGGAUUAGAUACCCGUGU